GAUGAACGCUGGCGGCGUGCCUAAUACAUGCAAGUCGAGCGAACAGACGAGGAGCUUGCUCCUUUGACGUUAGCGGCGGACGGGUGAGUAACACGUGGAUAACCUACCUAUAAGACUGGGAUAACUUCGGGAAACCGGAGCUAAUACCGGAUAACAUGUUGAACCGCAUGGUUCAACAGUGAAAGACGGUCUUGCUGUCACUUAUAGAUGGAUCCGCGCCGCAUUAGCUAGUUGGUAAGGUAACGGCUUACCAAGGCAACGAUGCGUAGCCGACCUGAGAGGGUGAUCGGCCACACUGGAACUGAGACACGGUCCAGACUCCUACGGGAGGCAGCAGUAGGGAAUCUUCCGCAAUGGGCGAAAGCCUGACGGAGCAACGCCGCGUGAGUGAAGAAGGUCUUCGGAUCGUAAAACUCUGCUAUUAGGGAAGAACAAAUGUGUAAGUAACUAUGCACGUCUUGACGGUACCUAAUCAGAAAGCCACGGCUAACUACGUG
This 497-nucleotide ribosomal RNA is filed under the name uncultured bacterium. RNAcentral's name for it is "partial 16S ribosomal RNA". It matches the Rfam family "Bacterial small subunit ribosomal RNA", at positions 28 to 507 of the family's 1533-position model. The record is from RNAcentral.